Molecule: unclassified non-coding RNA, 354 nt
Filed under: soil metagenome
Description: partial contains 5.8S ribosomal RNA, internal transcribed spacer 2, and large subunit ribosomal RNA
Rfam family: 5.8S ribosomal RNA (bases 1-121)
Source: RNAcentral
GAUGAAGAACGCAGCGAAAUGCGAUAAGUAAUGCGAAUUGCAGAAUUUCCGUGAGUCAUCGAAUCUUUGAACGCACAUUGCGCCCACUGGUAUUCCGGCGGGCAUGCCUGUUCGAGCGUCAUUACAACCCUCAGGCCCCCGGGCCUGGCGUUGGGGAUCGGCGGAAGCCCCCUGCGGGCACAACGCCGUCCCCCAAAUACAGUGGCGGUCCCGCCGCAGCUUCCAUUGCGUAGUAGCUAACACCUCGCAACUGGAGAGCGGCGCGGCCACGCCGUAAAACACCCAACUUCUGAAUGUUGACCUCGAAUCAGGUAGGAAUACCCGCUGAACUUAAGCAUAUCAAUAAGCGGAGGA